GAACGCAUAUUGCGCUCUUUGGUAUUCCGAAGAGCAUGCUUGUUUGAGUAUCAUUAAACACCUCAACCUCCUCUUGAUUUUUCAAAAGGAGGGUGGACUUGAGCUAUCCCAACAACCUUUAUCGGUCGGCGGUCGGCUUGAAAUGCAGGUGCAGCUGGACUUUUAUCUGAGCUAAAAGCAUAUCUAUUUAGUCCUCGUCAAACAGGAUUAUUACUUUUGCUGCAGCUAACAUAAAGGAUAAUUGUCCUCUUUGCUGACUGAUGCAGGAUUUUACGACACUUUAUGUGUUGUUCAACUCGAUCUCAAAUCAAGUAAGACUACCCGCUGAACUUAAG
This 335-nucleotide unclassified non-coding RNA is filed under the name Podila clonocystis. Its description in RNAcentral is "sequence contains 5.8S rRNA gene". The stretch from base 1 to 53 matches the Rfam family "5.8S ribosomal RNA", at positions 102 to 154 of the family's 154-position model. Lineage: Eukaryota; Fungi; Mortierellomycota; Mortierellomycetes; Mortierellales; Mortierellaceae. The record is from RNAcentral.